This 477-nucleotide ribosomal RNA is filed under the name uncultured bacterium. RNAcentral describes it as "SSU rRNA". It matches the Rfam family "Bacterial small subunit ribosomal RNA", at positions 26 to 518 of the family's 1533-position model. The record is from RNAcentral.
AGGACGAACGCUGGCGGCGUGCUUAACACAUGCAAGUCGAGCGGAAAGGCCCUUUCGGGGGUACUCGAGCGGCGAACGGGUGAGUAACACGUGAGUAACCUGCCCUUGGCUUUGGGAUAACCCUCGGAAACGGGGGCUAAUACCGAAUAUUCACUGCUCCUCGCAUGGGGGGUGGUGGAAAGAUUUUUUGGCUGGGGAUGGGCUCGCGGCCUAUCAGCUUGUUGGUGGGGUAAUGGCCCACCAAGGCGACGACGGGUAGCCGGCCUGAGAGGGCGACCGGCCACACUGGGACUGAGACACGGCCCAGACUCCUACGGGAGGCAGCAGUGGGGAAUAUUGCGCAAUGGGCGAAAGCCUGACGCAGCGACGCCGCGUGGGGGAUGAAGGCCUUCGGGUUGUAAACCCCUUUCAGCAGGGACGAAGCGAAGUGACGGUACCUGCAGAAGAAGCGCCGGCUAACUACGCGCCAGCAGCCGC